This 746-nucleotide ribosomal RNA is filed under the name uncultured bacterium. RNAcentral's name for it is "bacterial SSU rRNA". It matches the Rfam family "Bacterial small subunit ribosomal RNA", at positions 33 to 773 of the family's 1533-position model. The record is from RNAcentral.
ACGCUGGCGGCAGGCCUAACACAUGCAAGUCGAGCGGUAGAGAGAAGCUUGCUUCUCUUGAGAGCGGCGGACGGGUGAGUAAUGCCUAGGGAUCUGCCUGGUAGUGGGGGAUAACGUUCGGAAACGGACGCUAAUACCGCAUACGUCCUACGGGAGAAAGCAGGGGACCUUCGGGCCUUGCGCUAUCAGAUGAGCCUAGGUCGGAUUAGCUAGUUGGUGGGGUAAUGGCUCACCAAGGCGACGAUCCGUAACUGGUCUGAGAGGAUGAUCAGUCACACUGGAACUGAGUCACGGUCCAGACUCCUACGGGAGGCAGCAGUGGGGAAUAUUGGACAAUGGGCGAAAGCCUGAUCCAGCCAUGCCGCGUGUGUGAAGAAGGUCUUCGGAUUGUAAAGCACUUUAAGUUGGGAGGAAGGGCAGUUGCCUAAUACGUAACUGUUUUGACGUUACCGACAGAAUAAGCACCGGCUAACUCUGUGCCAGCAGCCGCGGUAAUACAGAGGGUGCAAGCGUUAAUCGGAAUUACUGGGCGUAAAGCGCGCGUAGGUGGUUUGUUAAGUUGGAUGUGAAAUCCCCGGGCUCAACCUGGGAACUGCAUUCAAAACUGACUGACUAGAGUAUGGGUAGAGGGUGGUGGAAUUUCCUGUGUAGCGGUGAAAUGCGUAGAUAUAGGAAGGAACACCAGUGGCGAAGGCGACCACCUGGACCGAUACUGACACUGAGGUGCGAAAGCGUGGGGAGCAAAC